This 449-nucleotide ribosomal RNA is filed under the name uncultured bacterium. RNAcentral's name for it is "partial 16S ribosomal RNA". It matches the Rfam family "Bacterial small subunit ribosomal RNA", at positions 29 to 523 of the family's 1533-position model. The record is from RNAcentral.
AACGAACGCUGGCGGCAGGCUUAACACAUGCAAGUCGAACGAUGUAGCCAUACAUAGUGGCGCACGGGUGAGUAACGCGUGGGAAUGUACAAUUUGGUGGGGAAUAACUCCGGGAAACUGGAGCUAAUACCGCAUACGCCCUUCGGGGGAAAGAUUUAUCGCCAAAUGAUCAGCCCGCGUGAGAUUAGGUAGUUGGUGGGGUAAUGGCCUACCAAGCCGAUGAUCUCUAGCUGGUCUCAGAGGAUGAUCAGCCACACUGGAACUGAGACACGGUCCAGACUCCUACGGGAGGCAGGAGUGGGGAAUAUUGGGCAAUGGACGAAAGUCUGAACCAGCCAUGCCGCGUGAGUGCUGAAGGCUCUAGGGUUGUAAAGCUCUUUCGCCGAUGAAGAUAAUGACGGUAGUCGGAGAAGAAGCCCCGGCUAACUUCGUGCCAGCCGCCGCAGUAA